AGUCGAGCGGAAACGAUGUAGCUUGCUACAGGCGUCGAGCGGCGGACGGGUGAGUAGCGCGUAGGAAUCUGCCUAGUAGUGGGGGACAACAUGUGGAAACGCAUGCUAAUACCGCAUACGCCCUACGGGGGAAAGGAGGGGAUCUUCGGACCUUUCGCUAUUAGAUGAGCCUGCGUAAGAUUAGCUAGUUGGUAGGGUAAAGGCCUACCAAGGCGACGAUCUUUAACUGGUCUGAGAGGAUGGCCAGUCACACUGGGACUGAGACACGGCCCAGACUCCUACGGGAGGCAGCAGUGGGGAAUAUUGGACAAUGGGCGCAAGCCUGAUCCAGCCAUGCCGCGUGUGUGAAGAAGGCCUUAGGGUUGUAAAGCACUUUCAGGGGUGAGGAAGGGUGUUUGGUUAAUAUCCAAACAUUUUGACGUUAGCCCCAGAAGAAGCACCGGCUAACUCUGUGCCAGCAGCCGCGGUAAUACAGAGGGUGCAAGCGUUAAUCGGAAUUACUGGGCGUAAAGCGCGCGUAGGUGGUUUGUUAAGUCGGAUGUGAAAUCCCAGGGCUCAACCUUGGAAUGGCACCCGAUACUGGCAGGCUAGAGUAUGGUAGAGGGGUGUGGAAUUCCCUGUGUAGCGGUGAAAUGCGUAGAUAUAGGAAGGAACAUCAGUGGCGAAGGCGACACCCUGGACUAAUACUGACACUGAGGUGCGAAAGCGUGGGGAGCAAACAGG
RNAcentral lists this ribosomal RNA (723 nucleotides) under uncultured Pseudomonadota bacterium. Its description in RNAcentral is "bacterial SSU rRNA". It matches the Rfam family "Bacterial small subunit ribosomal RNA", at positions 60 to 776 of the family's 1533-position model. Lineage: Bacteria; Pseudomonadati; Pseudomonadota. The record is from RNAcentral.